GGAUUAGAUACCUGGUAGUCCACACCGUAAACGCUGUCUACUAGCUGUCUGUGUGUUUAACACUGGGUAGCGUAGCUAACGCGCUAAGUAGACCGCCUGGGGAGUACGGCCGCAAGGUUAAAACUCAAAUGAAUUGACGGGGGCCCGCACAAGCGGUGGAGCAUGUGGUUUAAUUCGAUGCAACGCGAAGAACCUUACCAGGACUUGACAUCCUACUGAGUUACCAGAGAUGGUUUCGUGCCUUCGGGAAAGUAGUGACAGGUGCUGCAUGGCUGUCGUCAGCUCGUGCUG
This 291-nucleotide ribosomal RNA is filed under the name uncultured bacterium. RNAcentral describes it as "partial 16S ribosomal RNA". It matches the Rfam family "Bacterial small subunit ribosomal RNA", at positions 775 to 1067 of the family's 1533-position model. The record is from RNAcentral.